This is a long non-coding RNA of Mustela lutreola (European mink), 593 nucleotides long. RefSeq lists it as uncharacterized. Lineage: Eukaryota; Metazoa; Chordata; Mammalia; Carnivora; Mustelidae. The record is from RefSeq and is a predicted model, not a curated record. The transcript is spliced from 2 exons.
CUUCAUUUCUUGACUGGGUGCGAGAGAGCUCAGGGCUCUUCCUUGAAGAUGCUCCUAGUUCCUGCUCUUCUGGUUGUAAGAAAAGGUGAUUGUAGAGCAGAUCGUUGAGUCUCAUCCGGACGGCCUGAAGAUCAUGUAUGCUAAUAAGCUCCUGAAGUUCAUUCCUCACCACUGCCACCUUCUUUGAGAGGUCACAGGAGGAGCCAUCUCAAGGUGACGUAAACUGCUGUGUAUGCACCUGAGCUCAGUUUAGUGACCACCUGUCACCUCCUCAUGUGCCGCUGAUCCCUGGCUGUCCUGUCUGACCCGGGAACGUGUGCUCUUCCCUAUUUGUUACCAGUGCUGUGAGGCAGGUGUCGCUUGCCUGGGUUUACAGGGAAAGGGAAUGAAGAGUGGGGACGAAUCUCAACGGUGACAUUUGUGUGACUCCAGAGCCUCUGCUUUUCUCUUUUCUAUACUUUCUCCUUAACCAGGUUCAAAAUCAAAAUUGGUUUCCUUCCAUUAUUGUGAUGUCAUCAUCGGUCUAGAAAUACCAAUUCAUUUUAAUUCAACACGUUUUAUACUGAUGGCAAUUAAAGUCAUGUUCGGUUUUC